RNAcentral lists this ribosomal RNA (326 nucleotides) under Salmonella enterica subsp. enterica serovar Typhi. Its description in RNAcentral is "bacterial SSU rRNA". It matches the Rfam family "Bacterial small subunit ribosomal RNA", at positions 1206 to 1531 of the family's 1533-position model. Lineage: Bacteria; Pseudomonadati; Pseudomonadota; Gammaproteobacteria; Enterobacterales; Enterobacteriaceae. The record is from RNAcentral.
GGNUCUGCCUUCGCUCACAGUGCUACAUGGCCAUACAAAGAAGCGACCUCGCGAGAGCAAGCGGACCUCAUAAAGUGCGUCGUAGUCCGGAUUGGAGUCUGCAACUCGACUCCAUGAAGUCGGAAUCGCUAGUAAUCGUGGAUCAGAAUGCCACGGUGAAUACGUUCCCGGGCCUUGUACACACCGCCCGUCACACCAUGGGAGUGGGUUGCAAAAGAAGUAGGUAGCUUAACCUUCGGGAGGGCGCUUACCACUUUGUGAUUCAUGACUGGGGUGAAGUCGUAACAAGGUAACCGUAGGGGAACCUGCGGUUGGGAUCACCUCCU